CAGAGAUCUGAACUGACUUCCCCAGGUUCCCUGGGGUCCACUUUUAAGCUUGUGACUGAGAGCAGUCUGGACCCUGCUCUCUGGACUCACAGCCCGGGCACUGACCUAGAAGCUUCUUAUCCACAUUUAACAGCCUGAGGGAUCAGUUUGGGUUUCUCCAAAUCCAGAAAAAGAGCUCCUGUACACUCCUCCAGGGAAGACAGGAAAAACCACCGAAGUAUUUGGAGGUAAAAAGCUAUCACGGCUGCAGUUUAUUCUCAAACAGUUCAAAAAGAUGGAUAUAUGUGAAAAGAGAAAGAGAGAGAACGGAUGUGAUGAAAUAGGAAGUCUUGGUGACCAACCUGUGUCAACCCCCACAGAGACCUUGAGGGGUAGGGGAUGCACUGUUAUCCCUACUGGACAGAUGUGGGAUGAAGGCUCAGAAAACAUGCUGCCCCUCCUGAGCCUGUCCAAAACAGGGUUAGGACCCCAGGUGGAGGGGCGCCAGGGUCUGCCAGGGGCCACUUACCAGAUCG
This is a long non-coding RNA of Artibeus jamaicensis (Jamaican fruit-eating bat), 515 nucleotides long. RefSeq lists it as uncharacterized. Lineage: Eukaryota; Metazoa; Chordata; Mammalia; Chiroptera; Phyllostomidae. The record is from RefSeq and is a predicted model, not a curated record. The transcript has 4 exons.